Molecule: transfer RNA, 68 nt
Filed under: Hyporhamphus intermedius
Lineage: Eukaryota; Metazoa; Chordata; Actinopteri; Beloniformes; Hemiramphidae
Description: tRNA-Ser
Source: RNAcentral
GAGAGAGGCCCGAGAGCACCGAUAACUGCUAAUUUUCGUCUCCUUGGUUGAACCCCAAGGCUCACUCA